GUGGGGAAUAUUCCGCAAUGGACGAAAGUCUGACGGAGCAACGCCGCGUGAGUGAUGAAGGUUUUCGGACUGUAAAGCUCUGUUGUUUAGGACGAAAGUGCCUGUUGCAAAUAGUUACAGGUAUUGACGGUACUGAACGAGGAAGCCACGGCUAACUACGUGCCAGCAGCCGCGGUAAUACGUAGGUGGCAAGCGUUGUCCGGAAUUAUUGGGCGUAAAGAGCAUGUAGGCGGGAAUCGAAGUCUGUUGUGAAAAUGCGGGGCUCAACCCCGUAUUGCGAUGGAAACUGGUUUUCUUGAGUGCAGGAGAGGAAAGGGGAAUUCCCAGUGUAGCGGUGAAAUGCGUAGAUAUUGGGAGGAACACCAGUGGCGAAGGCGGCCACCUGGACCGGUAUUGACGCUGAGGUGCGAAAGCGUGGGGAGCAAACAGGAUUAGAUACCCCAGUAGUCC
RNAcentral lists this ribosomal RNA (450 nucleotides) under uncultured bacterium. Its description in RNAcentral is "partial 16S ribosomal RNA". It matches the Rfam family "Bacterial small subunit ribosomal RNA", at positions 354 to 796 of the family's 1533-position model. The record is from RNAcentral.